GCCCUGGUAGUAUAAGUUAAUACACUGGUCUUGUAAACCGGAAAUGGAAACUUCUCCCCAGGACA
This 65-nucleotide transfer RNA is filed under the name Cercocebus atys (sooty mangabey). It matches the Rfam family "tRNA". From Rfam's summary of the family: Transfer RNA (tRNA) molecules are approximately 80 nucleotides in length. Their secondary structure includes four short double-helical elements and three loops (D, anti-codon, and T loops). Lineage: Eukaryota; Metazoa; Chordata; Mammalia; Primates; Cercopithecidae. The record is from Rfam by way of RNAcentral. RNAcentral also lists the same sequence under 4 other names.